UGUCUUUCGGAGUUCAUAUGUGCUGUUGUGGUUUAGAAUAUAUCCAAUACGUCUAUUACGAUGAGCAUUGCCCGUCGGACUUUGGUUGCAUCUGCUGUUGCAAAUGGGAAUAUCUCUCACCUGCUCGGGGGGCAAUUGCUUACGGAGAUGAUGCUUUGGGCAAAACCAAUUACCAGGAUAAAGAUCUGUGUGCUAGGCUCUUGAUAUAGUUUUGCUAAUGCGGCCUUAAGCUGUUGAAAUUGGAUUACUCACAAACAAGGUUCUUCAAUAAUAGGCUCACAGUUGUUAACUCCAGUUACUGCUCCCAAUAGCUGUUUUUCGGUUGUUUGGGCUAGACGCAGCAUUUCCUGAUUGGCGACCGCUCUGGGGGUUCGAUAGUCUGUUCUGCUUACAAUACUUUUCUCGUCAGGUCCAGGCAGCGCAAGCCUUGCACUGUAUUUCAAAUAUUGUCAAAAUAAUUUUGGACUUACUGGAAAUGCAAGAUGAUGAAGUGUCAGAAGUCGGACACACUCCACACUUUUCAGCCCCAAUCCCCUUACGCUCAGCAGAUACUCUCUACAAGAAUUAAUUGUCCGAGCAAAUUGUGACGUGCUAAUGCUAAAGAAAGCAUCCUCCAUUCUAGCAGCGGGAGCAAAAUAAAGAUCAAAGCCGUGCUGCUGAGAAGAGGGUAGUUUAUCUACACAAGCAUACUCAGAUUAUCAGCCACUCAAAAAUCACGUUCAUAGUCUUCCUCAUUUCCGACAAAAGGAGAAUUUGGAAUGGAAAAUGAAUUUGUCGCAUUGUAUUUUCCUUGUGCCGCCACACAUGCUGAUGUUGCAGACGCUGCAUCUGCAAGAGCCAGAAGAUCCAUACAAGAAAAUUCAUUCAGUCUGACUACUCCAUCACCCAAACUCUCUCCUGGUGUUUCACUACCAAUGCAGGAUUCCGCAGGGGCAUUCUUGUCUUCUGGAGAUGACCAAUUACCACGGCGUGUGAAGCGUCUAGGCAGGACCAAAACACGUGACCAAACUAAAAAAACGAAUGAGCUUAUGUGGCGACACUUGGCACGGGUGAGCGUAUCAAAAGUCAAGAUUAGGGUUAGCCCUCAUCACUGCCCUCAUUUUUUACGCUUGUUUGUAUUUGCUUAUUGAAUGAGAUCACUGGAUUUGUGUUUUCUGAUGGUGUGGUGAUGGAAUGAAGAAUGAACUGAUUGGAAAAUCUUUACAGUUUGACUAUUAUAUCCCUAUGGCGGCAUCCGAUUUCCCAAUUGGAUGGUCUAAAUUCAUAGUAAUAGGGGUCGGUGAGGUGAGCCCUACACGGCCCCACCUCUCUCGUUCCCAAAUUUCCCUCUUUUAAAUUUUAAGAACGCGGGAAACAUAGUUGACAUGA
Long non-coding RNA from Tripterygium wilfordii, 1368 nucleotides. RefSeq lists it as uncharacterized. The record is from RefSeq and is a predicted model, not a curated record. The transcript has 8 exons. Lineage: Eukaryota; Viridiplantae; Streptophyta; Magnoliopsida; Celastrales; Celastraceae.